AAAAUCCGUCGACUUUAGAAAUCGUGAGGGUUUCAAGUCCCUCUAUACCCA
RNAcentral lists this transfer RNA (51 nucleotides) under Anarthria laevis. Its description in RNAcentral is "partial tRNA-Leu". Lineage: Eukaryota; Viridiplantae; Streptophyta; Magnoliopsida; Poales; Restionaceae. The record is from RNAcentral.